AGUAACGGCGAGUGAAGCGGCAAGAGCUCAAAUUUGAAAUCUGGCCCCUCCGGGGUCCGAGUUGUAAUUUGCAGAGGAUGCUUCGGGUGCGGCCCCUGUCUAAGUGCCCUGGAACGGGCCGUCAGAGAGGGUGAGAAUCCCGUCUUGGGCAGGGUGCCCGUGCCCGUGUGAAGCUCCUUCGACGAGUCGAGUUGUUUGGGAAUGCAGCUCAAAAUGGGUGGUAAAUUUCAUCUAAAGCUAAAUACCGGCCGGAGACCGAUAGCGCACAAGUAGAGUGAUCGAAAGAUGAAAAGCACUUUGAAAAGAGAGUUAAACAGCACGUGAAAUUGUUGAAAGGGAAGCGCUUGCAACCAGACUCGGCCUCGGGGUUCAGCCAGCAUUCGUGCUGGUGUACUUCCCCGGGGCCGGGCCAGCGUCGGUUUGGGCGGCCGGUCAAAGGCCCCAGGAAUGUAUCGUCCUCCGGGACGUCUUAUAGCCUGGGGUGCAAUGCGGCCAGCCUGGACCGAGGAACGCGCUUCGGCACGGACGCUGGCGUAAUGGUCGCAAACG
Molecule: ribosomal RNA, 549 nt
Filed under: Aspergillus sp.
Lineage: Eukaryota; Fungi; Ascomycota; Eurotiomycetes; Eurotiales; Aspergillaceae
Description: LSU rRNA
Rfam family: Eukaryotic large subunit ribosomal RNA
Source: RNAcentral